AACCUGCCUCAAAGAGGGGGACAACAGUUGGAAACGACUGCUAAUACCGCAUAAGCCCACGGGUCGGCAUCGACCAGAGGGAAAAGGAGCAAUCCGCUUUGAGAUGGCCUCGCGUCCGAUUAGCUAGUUGGUGAGGUAACGGCCCACCAAGGCAACGAUCGGUAGCCGGACUGAGAGGUUGAACGGCCACAUUGGGACUGAGACACGGCCCAGACUCCUACGGGAGGCAGCAGUGGGGAAUAUUGCACAAUGGGGGAAACCCUGAUGCAGCGACGCCGCGUGGAGGAAGAAGGUCUUCGGAUUGUAAACUCCUGUUGUUGAGGAAGAUAAUGACGGUACUCAACAAGGAAGUGACGGCUAACUACGUGCCAGCAGCCGCGGUAAAACGUAGGUCACAAGCGUUGUCCGGAAUUACUGGGUGUAAAGGGAGCGCAGGCGGGAAGACAAGUUGGAAGUGAAAUCCAUGGGCUCAACUCAUGAACUGCUUUCAAAACUGUUUUUCUUGAGUAGUGCAGAGGUAGGCGGAAUUCCCGGUGUAGCGGUGGAAUGCGUAGAUAUCGGGAGGAACACCAGUGGCGAAGGCGGCCUACUGGGCACCAACUGACGCUGAGGCUCGA
This 617-nucleotide ribosomal RNA is filed under the name uncultured bacterium. RNAcentral's name for it is "bacterial SSU rRNA". It matches the Rfam family "Bacterial small subunit ribosomal RNA", at positions 123 to 756 of the family's 1533-position model. The record is from RNAcentral.